UGGGGAAUUUUGGACAAUGGGCGAAAGCCUGAUCCAGCAAUGCCGCGUGUGUGAAGAAGGCCUUCGGGUUGUAAAGCACUUUUGUCCGGAAAGAAAUCCUUGGCUCUAAUACAGUCGGGGGAUGACGGUACCGGAAGAAUAAGCACCGGCUAACUACGUGCCAGCAGCCGUGGUAAUACGUAGGGUGCAAGCGUUAAUCGGAAUUACUGGGCGUAAAGCGUGCGCAGGCGGUUUGCUAAGACCGAUGUGAAAUCCCCGGGCUCAACCUGGGAACUGCAUUGGUGACUGGCAGGCUAGAGUAUGGCAGAGGGGGGUAGAAUUCCACGUGUAGCAGUGAAAUGCGUAGAGAUGUGGAGGAAUACCGAUGGCGAAGGCAGCCCCCUGGGCAAUACUGACGCUCAUGCACGAAAGCGUGGGGAGCAAACAGGAUUAGAUACCCUGGUAGUCCACGCCCUAAACGAUGUCAACUAGUUGUUGGGGACUUCAUUUCCUUAGUAACGUAGCUAACGCGUGAAGUUGACCGCCUGGGGAGUACGGUCGCAAGAUUAAAACUCAAAUGAAUUGACGGGGUCAUAGCUGUUUCCU
Molecule: ribosomal RNA, 585 nt
Filed under: uncultured bacterium
Lineage: Bacteria
Description: partial 16S ribosomal RNA
Rfam family: Bacterial small subunit ribosomal RNA
Source: RNAcentral